GACGAACGCUGGCGGCGUGCUUAACACAUGCAAGUCGAGCGGUAAGGGCCCUUUCGGGGGUACACGAGCGGCGAACGGGUGAGUAACACGUGGGUGACCUGCCCUCAGCUCUGGGAUAAGCCUGGGAAACUGGGUCUAAUACUGGAUAUGACUCCACGGUGCAUGUCGUGGGGUGGAAAGCCUUGUGCGGCUGAGGAUGGGCCCNCGGCCUAUCAGCUUGUUGGUGGGGUGANGGCCUACCAAGGCGACGACGGGUAGCCGGCCUGAGAGGGCGACCGGCCA
This 282-nucleotide ribosomal RNA is filed under the name uncultured bacterium. RNAcentral describes it as "partial 16S ribosomal RNA". It matches the Rfam family "Bacterial small subunit ribosomal RNA", at positions 28 to 310 of the family's 1533-position model. The record is from RNAcentral.